Molecule: unclassified non-coding RNA, 976 nt
Filed under: Hevea brasiliensis (rubber tree)
Lineage: Eukaryota; Viridiplantae; Streptophyta; Magnoliopsida; Malpighiales; Euphorbiaceae
Source: RNAcentral
UUUUUUACCAAACUCACUCAAAAAUACAAAAAUACAAAAAUAUAUUAAUAACAAGUCAGUCAAAAGAUGAAAUACCCUACUCUACAAAAAUUUGAGAACUCAAUUCACUUAUUAUCGACCACAAAAUUGACCUCGAACUAUGACAGUACAGAUUCAUAUAGUCGACCUCAACUUGUUUGGUACUGAACCGUAGAUGUUGUUGUUGUGGUGGUGAACAGCUCCCAUGCAAAUCACUCUACUCAAUCUAGACACAGAAAAUCAAGAACAAAUAAUAUAGCCAUUUCCCAUUUUUCUCCUUAGUUUGAUGCAUUUCUUGAACAAUUUUUCUCUGUUACGACUAAACUUCUUCACCCUUCUUGUUAUUGAUAGAAGAAGUACUACUUGGAAGGAAACAAGUUUCCUCGCCACCCGUGUUCCACAAGAAAUUGGCAUAUGUACAUCUAUAAUAAGGGUUCCUAGGCUCAGCUGCCACUGCCUGUUGGUAUUUUUCUUCUGCUCCCCAUAAAUCGUUCUUAACCUUCCACAAGAAGAUCGCGUACUGACAUAGGGCCUCUGCAUCCGGUGGUUCCACUUGGACUGCCCGUUUGAAGCACUCCUCCGCCCUAUUAUUAUCUCGAACGAAGACUUUCAGAAAGUUUGCAUAAUUGCAUAGCAAAAGAGUGUUAUUAGGCUCAUGUGUGAGAUUCAUCUGAUAAACAAGAUCAGUCUUAUAAUAGUCAACACUAUUAUCUGGUUCAAUCUCCACUGACAAUGGCGAAACAAACUUCGACAUGACUUCAUUAUCAAAAUCAAUGCCCCUUGAACCACCCCUCAUAUUCAAAGCUUCAUCUUGUAUUGAAUCCCACAAUUCUUUCUCUUCAUCAGUCCACACUACUUUUGACACAUCUUGAGGAACAAUAUCAGGAUAAUGAACUUUUAGAUAUGGUUGAUCACAAUUCUCACCAGAAGCAGAGUAAACACUAAAGUUAGCCAAGAG